GUGCCAGCAGCCGCGGUAAUACAGAGGGUGCAAGCGUUAAUCGGAUUUACUGGGCGUAAAGCGCGCGUAGGUGGCCAAUUAAGUCAAAUGUGAAAUCCCCGAGCUUAACUUGGGAAUUGCAUUCGAUACUGGUUGGCUAGAGUAUGGGAGAGGAUGGUAGAAUUCCAGGUGUAGCGUUGAAAUGCGUAGAGAUCUGGAGGAAUACCGAUGGCGAAGGCAGCCAUCUGGCCUAAUACUGACACUGAGGUGCGAAAAGCCAUGGGGGAGCAAACCAGGAUUUAGAUACCCUGGGUAGUCC
RNAcentral lists this ribosomal RNA (298 nucleotides) under uncultured microorganism. Its description in RNAcentral is "partial 16S ribosomal RNA". It matches the Rfam family "Bacterial small subunit ribosomal RNA", at positions 505 to 796 of the family's 1533-position model. The record is from RNAcentral.